AUUGAACGCUGGCGGCAGGCCUAACACAUGCAAGUCGAAUGGUAACAGGAAACAGCUUGCUGUUUCGCUGACGAGUGGCGGACGGGUGCGUAAUGUCUGGGAAACUGCCUGAUGGAGGGGGAUAACUACUGGAAACGGUAGCUAAUACCGCAUAACGCCGCAAGACAAAAGAGGGGGACCUUCGGGCCUCUUGCCAUCAGAUGAGCCCAGAUGGGAUUAGCUAGUAGGUGGGGUAACGGCUCACCUAGGAGACGAUCCCUAGCUGGUCUGAGAGGAUGACCAGCCACCCUGGAACUGGGCCACGGUCCAGACUCCUACGGGAGGCGGCAGUGGGGAAUAUUGCACAAUGGGCGCAGGCCUGAUGCAGCCAGGCCGCGUGUAUGAGGAGGGCCUUCGGGUUGUAAAGUACGUUCAGCGGGGAGGAAGGGAGUAAAGUUAAUACCUUUGCUCAUUGACGUUACCCGCAGAAGAAGCACCGGCUAACUCCGUG
Molecule: ribosomal RNA, 490 nt
Filed under: uncultured bacterium
Lineage: Bacteria
Description: partial 16S ribosomal RNA
Rfam family: Bacterial small subunit ribosomal RNA
Source: RNAcentral